UACGGAGGAGGCAAGCGUUAUCCGGAAUUAUUGGGCGUAAAGCGUCCGCAGGUGGCACUUCAAGUCUGCUGUCAAAGACCGGGGCUUAACCCCAGAAAGGCAGUGGAAACUGAAGUGCUAGAGUGCAGUAGGGGUAGAGGGAAUUCCCGGUGUAGCGGUGAAAUGCGUAGAGAUCGGGAAGAACAUCGGUGGCGAAAGCGCUCUGCUGGACUGCAACUGACACUCAGGGACGAAAGCUAGGGGAGCAAACGGG
RNAcentral lists this ribosomal RNA (253 nucleotides) under uncultured bacterium. RNAcentral's name for it is "partial 16S ribosomal RNA". It matches the Rfam family "Bacterial small subunit ribosomal RNA", at positions 524 to 776 of the family's 1533-position model. The record is from RNAcentral.